CCCAUUCUAAAGUUAUAUUCUCAUUUUAUAAGCUUUCUUUUACCCUCUACUUUUCUGUUUCAGAAGAACAAUCCGUUAGCUAUAAUAUUUGUGUGGUUAUUUAUUUUAUGUCCAUCUCUCUAACAGACAAUAAACUUCUUGCAGGUGAAAUAGUGGUUGCCCUUUCACCACGAAACCCCCGAUGCCCAGGACAGUGCCUCACCCAGGUUAAUUCCAUGUAAAUAUUAACAUUGGAUUAAUCUAAAGUUCUAGAUCCUCUUGAGAGGCACGAAUAUGUUGGGUAGAAAAAGCUUGGGUCCAGCACCUCAUACUUUUCCACAGGCCUUUUGAAAAAAAUUUGGGUGAGUUUCUCCAGAAAACCUCUACUCUUCCCCAUCAGCAUUUACAAGCCUUCCCCCGGGGGGAGGAGGGGGGGAAAGAAAAGAAAAGAGAAGAAAAGAAAAAAGAAAGAAGGGCAAAGAAAACAAACUGGAAUCUCCAGAAUGAGUUCUGACUUUGGAUUUCUAUCCCAGACUGCCUGUGGCCACCUUCUCUCCUGUGGGGAGUAGGAAGGAGUCAGUUUUAAGAACUGUUCCCCCUGGCCUUGGUUCAGAACUGUCUAUCCCCAGCAUUCCAGGGUUCGUCUUAAAUCAUUGACUGUCUUUGCAGGGUUUUUUGAAAGGAUUUUCAUAAAAAAGAAAAAAAAAAAAAACCCAAGAACACGAAAAGUGAAUUUGCUAUCAAGAUUUCUAGUGCUCAGAUGACGUAUGAAGGUAAAGCCUCCCUGUGCCCAUUUUAGUGGCCCCACGCCCAACCCUGUCUGAAGUUUUUGCUCUAUUCCUAUAAGUCAGUUACAGGGUUUCAUGUGUAUAUAGACAACAAGUAAUAAAAGCUACAACAACCUGGAUCUGCUUUGUUUCAGACUUGCUGGUUUAAAAAAAUCUGCCGAGGGCACUUGUAUUUUUCUUAUUUCUACUUCCUAGGGUGUAGCCAGGCAGCUCAUGACACCUCCCCACAACUGGACCUUGAAUCCUGAUGGGGACACAGUGAAAAUGACUGCCAGCCAGCACCACAGCUGUGAGACUAUCUACUUUGGGCUUUCAUCACACCAAAAAAAAAACCCUGGAAGUGAGGGCUCGGUGCCAGCCAAAUCAUCACAUGCCUUGGGGAUUGACUGGGUGCUGACCUUUGAGCCCCUGUCCUGGCCUUUCAGACUGUAGUUCAAGGUCACAUCACCUAGGCACUGUAGGCACUGUAGUGCCACGACUUUCUGUGUCACUGUGGCAAGUAGCUUAACUUCUCUCUGCUGCAGUGUCCCUGUGUGUCAAAUGGGGAUGCAGUCAUGACUCCCUCGUGGGUUUUCUUGUAAGAAUGAAAUGGCGUGAUUGAUGUCAGGCACAUAGUAGGCACUUGGUACGUAUUAGCCAUCAACUAUAUGUCAUUACCAUUUGUACUUAACAAUUUAUUCUAUAAACAGACUGCCCGGUUGCU
This is a long non-coding RNA of Herpailurus yagouaroundi (jaguarundi), 1470 nucleotides long. RefSeq lists it as uncharacterized. The record is from RefSeq and is a predicted model, not a curated record. The transcript has 2 exons. NCBI's taxonomy places the organism in Eukaryota, Metazoa, Chordata, Mammalia, Carnivora, Felidae.